UUGAACGACUCUCGGCAACGGAUAUCUCGGCUCUCGCAUCGAUGAAGAACGUAGCGAAAUGCGAUACUUGGUGUGAAUUGCAGAAUCCCGUGAACCAUUGAGUUUUUGAACGCAAGUUGCGCCCGAGGCCAUUCGGUCGAGGGCACGCCUGCCUGGGCGUCACAC
RNAcentral lists this ribosomal RNA (165 nucleotides) under Tinospora uviforme. RNAcentral describes it as "5.8S ribosomal RNA". It matches the Rfam family "5.8S ribosomal RNA". Rfam says of the family: 5.8S ribosomal RNA (5.8S rRNA) is a component of the large subunit of the eukaryotic ribosome. It is transcribed by RNA polymerase I as part of the 45S precursor that also contains 18S and 28S rRNA. The record is from RNAcentral. Lineage: Eukaryota; Viridiplantae; Streptophyta; Magnoliopsida; Ranunculales; Menispermaceae.